CUUCAGAGUUAUUUGGGACUUUAUUUUCUGAUCUUUUACAACAAACCACGUUUCCUAUAGUUUAUUACUUUAAUGACAAAAUUUAUCCUAAUUAAAGAAUGAAUCACGAUAUUUAUCAUGUUUUAUUGACGUGCUAAAGUGAUCCCAGUAGUUAAUUGGAUGACAAAGACUUAUCUGAUUGUGUGAAUGAGCUGACAAAGAAGACCUCUAAUUGUUAAAUCAGAUUUAUUCUCAUCCAUCCAAUUAGGUAAGAUUUCUUCAAUAUUUUUUAAUGUUUUCCCAUUUUAUUAGUACUAAUUAUUGUACUAUAUUAUAUUAUUACUUUACUUUACUAAUAUAUAGAAGUGGUGUAAAGUAGCAGGUGGCAGGUGGCAGGUGAAGUUUGUCCUGCCAGUUUUCCAGGGUUAUUUUGGUCAUUUUGAAUUUUGGUUGGUACACGUGUCUUCUCAGAAUGAGAAAUGCAACAGCUGAAGCUUUGGUUUUCUCUUACUAAAAAAACCAAAAUUCAUUCUCAGACCUCUGAUAAUCUUCCUGUUUUCCUCAGAUUCUUCAAUCCAAAGAGUGUCACAGGAAAUGAUGUUGAAUCUAAUGGGGAUCAACACGCUUUCAUCUUGGUUCUUGGCGGACAGUUCUUUGUCGCUAUGUUGAUGCUAGAUACAUGGCAAUAUUUUAUGCAUCGGUACAUGCACCAAAACAAGUUCUUGUACAAACAUAUCCACUCUCAACAUCAUCGGCUAAUUGUUCCUUAUGCAUUUGGAGCUUUGUACAACCACCCUUUGGAGGGUUUGAUUCUUGACACAGUUGGUGGGGCUCUAGCUUUCCUUGUCUCUGGCAUGUCACCAUGUACCUCCAUCUUCUUUUUCUCAUUUGCUAUGAUCAAGGCGGUUGAUGAUCAUUGCGGACUAUCGUUGCCUGGAAAUCUUCUUCCAUAUCUUCUUUAAAAACAACUCUGCUUACCAUGAUAUUCAUCACCAGCUUUACGGGACCAAGUUUAACUCUUCACAGCCUUUCUUUGUGACGUGGGAUAGGAUACUUGGUACUUACAUGCCACGAGAACUUGAGAAGAGACAAGAAGGAGGUUUUGAAGCUAAGCCUGUUAAAGAUUGCAAGGAACAUUGACAACAUUGGUAGUUCAUGUUUGUCAUUAUGUACCACUGCAGUUUUUCCCUUUUUCAAAUGCUUAGUUACUCAUUUAAUUUGUAUAUAGUUAAAGGCUUAUGCGUAUAUUGUUGUAUAACUGGUGUCGUUUCGAGGUUGAAAAAGGAAUAGGGUCUAAUAAUAGUUUCCUUUUUAAACAUCGUAUGAGAUCUAAUUUCUGGUAUAUUCAACUAAUAGGCAGAGAUAAAAAUUUGCUCAGAUACAUUGUGUACUAUGAAUUUUUUAGUUCCAAAGCAUAUGGACAUGUAUAAUGACUUUGUCAUUGUUCUUUUCGUGGGUUGUUGAUAAUGGUGUUGAGCUCACAUUGAUCAUUUUACUGUGUACCUGUUUCUUCCAAUCAACCUAGGUACCAAGCAACUUUGUUACCUGAUGCUUAGAUAGACAAGAAGAAAUCACUUGGUGUUUCAAUGUUAGUGAAGAUAGAAUGCAGUUAAUAAAAUUAACCUGGAAGAGUUUUACAGGUCAAUAUACUGAUUUUUGAAGUCGUGGUCCAGCACUGCAAGUGACAACAACAUUCAUGCCCAUACAGUUCCUGUUCUCUACGAAAAAGAUGAAGAUAAAGUGAGUCCAUUUGUUGAGAAAGCAAUGCAAGAGAUGAAGAAACAAUAUCAUUGAUACAAAAAAUUUGAGUAAAAUUUCCAUAGGGCCAUUAAAAGAUAAGAGAUGUAUUCACGUACCUGUUCAUUACUUGCUUCUGUUGAUCUAAUAUCAUGUGCUAUGGUAUUAUUUUCUUGAUCUAACAACAUUCACCUGAAUACUGACUUGAUGAUUUAGCUCUCAUGAAUUACUAUUGUUGGGCCCGGGCAACGCCCGGCCUACCCCCACUAGUACUAAUAUAUAAGUGCUGUGAAGCAAGGAGGUCUCGGUUGUCCUCCCUGCUUGCAUCAAGGGCAUUUUCGUCAUUUCCCAGUUGCCGCCCAAGGGCUAUUUCAUCAUUAUCGGUGAGUUUUAUAGGUGUAAUACCGGGACUUUGGAUUAAAAAUGACAAAUAAGUUGUCCAAUUAAGUAGGAUCCCUCCAAGUUUUUUAAAUUAGGUGGGAGGGACAAAUUUUUUUUGAGUUUUUUUUUUUAAAAGUUUUUCCGUUCGAACAACUUGUCCCAAUUGUGUAGAACAACUUUGAUAGUUGUUCGACAACUUUGGUAGUUGUUCGACAACUUUGCGAAGUUAUUCAACAACUAUUAAAAUUGUUCAACAACUGUGCAAGUUGUUGUCCUACAACUGCACCUAGUUGUUGAAUAACUAGGCGUAGUUGUUCAAGGGACUUAGUUUUUUCAGGGUCAAGUUUGUGGGACCCACUUGUCCCCAAACUUGCCCGGCCUUGUGGCUUAUUUUCCUCUGUAAUAGCCUCCUAUCUCGGUGUCAAUCUAAUUGCUGAAAAGGGGGCUUUUCAAUCUCAUCCUUUUCUUCAUCGUUAAGUUGUUUCUUCUCCUCAGGUGCUGUUGGGAAUUGAGAUAAGAACACAAAAAGGCACAUAGUUUUGCCAUCCUCUGCUUCUACAUCUCUCUUUGUCAGUGUAAAUCUAAAAAAUGUAAAUCAACUGAGGUAACAACAUCGUUAAUCUUUGAUUUUGUUACUUUGUUCUUCUUUUUCUUCACUCAGUUUAUCGGAAUUUGUACGGUUUGUUGUUGCUGCCGGCGUUGUAUCGAAAGUUGUACGGUUUGUUGUUGCUGCCGGCAUUGUAUCGGAAGUUGUACGGUUUGUUGUUGCUGCCGGCGUUGUUAAACUUCGACGAGAAAAAGAUUGUCGAAGAAGCUUGUACCAAUUUUUUACCAAACUUGCUGUGUGAAUAUCUUUACAAUAUAUCUGAAGACUUCACUGAAUUCUAUACCGUCAGGUAGCUGGCUCGGCCGAGGAAGCAAGCAAACUCUUACUGUGUCAGGCAACAACUACUGUCAUAGGAAGUGUUUCCAUCUGUUGGGUAAAUUAUCACUAUUACUACUAUUUUGGAGAUGUAAAGUGAUAAAACUCUUUUGAACUGAAACUGAGGUCUCUGUGGCUCCAAUCUCUUUGGUUUUUCAUCAGUGCAACAUGAAUGUAUUCCGCAAGCAAUUCUAGGCAUGGAUGUUAUUUGUCAAGCUAAUUCUGGAAUGGGCAAAACUGCUGUUUUUGUUCUUUCAACUCUGCAACAGAUUGAACCUGUUGCUGGUCAGGUUGCUGCCAUGGUUCUAUGUCACACAAGGGAAUUAGCUUAUUAGGCAUGUAUUGAGAUAUACAAAUUUCUUUUUUCAGAAUUUCUUUCUGCUUCCCCCAUGUAGAAAGGUUUAUUUAUUUAUUUUUUUGGUGGGGUUCUUGGGUUUCUGCAGAUCUGUCAUGAAUUUGAGAGGUCUCAUAAUCCUAAGGCCAACAAUUAUAUCGAGCACUUAUAAGGAAAGGAGCCAUUCCCUGGAUGGAUUGAAGGAUUGAAGUAAUAACUAUACUCUUCCUUACCAAAGAACCGUGGAUACCUUCAUUGUUCCCUAUGGUAAAGGAAAGCUGAAUGUUGCAAUGAGUGACAGAGAAUCAAUAAUAACUGCACACUUGUGUUUGCUGUGAUAUGUAUAAUUUUUUUCAUACACUAUUGGACUUUUAUUACCACUUAAAGUCUAAUUUUUAAUUAAUUACAAUUUAUAGCC
RNA transcript from Capsicum annuum, 3771 nucleotides. The record is from RefSeq and is a predicted model, not a curated record. NCBI's taxonomy places the organism in Eukaryota, Viridiplantae, Streptophyta, Magnoliopsida, Solanales, Solanaceae.